GUUUUUCCAUGUUUCUCAAAUAAAACUCUGGUGUCAUCAAGAAACAUGGUGGAGGGAGACAUGAAGACUUUAGAGACAGGAACCACUGCAGAAAUAUCAGGAGAUGGGGAGGCAGAGGAAAGAAAGGAGAGAUCUGUGGAUCCCGUGAGCACCCCAAAUUGGAACCACUCCUUACCGUGCCUCAAGGAAGCAACAGACCUCCAAACUGCAUGGUGUACCUCAAAAGAGCAAGACCCAAGCAAAAAGAAUGCUGCCUGAUUUCCUGACAUUAACAAUGAACACAGCCAGACUCAAGAGGAGGAAGCUACUGGGACCACGGCAGUCAAGGAAACACCAUCAACACCCAGUCUUCCUCCCACAUUACUCAGAGACUUUUAUCUUUGCCAUCCUUAAACACAUUCCUGCAGGUCUCCAGAUCCCUUCCAGCCCAUCUUAGAUAAAACUGUGCAGGAAAAAUGUGCUUCUAAUAUAGAGGUUUCCAUCUGGACACCUUGUAUUUGAAUCACAACUCAAAC
This 515-nucleotide long non-coding RNA is filed under the name Homo sapiens (human). Its description in RNAcentral is "non-protein coding LINC02442:6". The record is from RNAcentral. Lineage: Eukaryota; Metazoa; Chordata; Mammalia; Primates; Hominidae.